RNAcentral lists this ribosomal RNA (460 nucleotides) under uncultured bacterium. RNAcentral describes it as "partial 16S ribosomal RNA". It matches the Rfam family "Bacterial small subunit ribosomal RNA", at positions 338 to 795 of the family's 1533-position model. The record is from RNAcentral.
CCUACGGGUGGCAGCAGUGAGGAAUAUUGGUCAAUGGGCGCGAGCCUGAACCAGCCAAGUCGCGUGCGGGAGGACGGCCCUACGGGUUGUAAACCUCUUUUGCCGGGGAGCAACGGGCGUCACGUGUAGCGCCCCUGAGAGUACCCGGAGAAAAAGCAUCGGCUAACUACGUGACAGCAGCCGCGGUAAUCCGGAGGAUGCUAGAGUUCUCCGGUGUUAUUGGGUUUAAAGGGUGACUAGGUGGAUCGUUAAGUCAGUGGUCAAAUUAAUGGGCUUAACCCAUUCCCGCCAUUGAUACUGGCGAUCUUGAGUGGGAGAGAAGUAAGCGGAAUGCGUGGUGGAGCGGUGAAAUGCGUAGAUAUCACGCAGAACCCCGAUGGCGAAGGCAGCAUGCCGGAUUCCGACUGACGCUGAAGCACGAAAGCGUGGGGAUCGAACAGGAUUAGAUAUCCGUGUAGUC